UUCAUGGAAUGGAAAAAAUACCAGAAGAUGGACCAGCACUUAUAAUUUUUUAUCAUGGAGCUAUUCCUAUAGAUUUUUACUAUUUCAUGGCUAAAAUAUUUAUACACAAAGGCAGAACUUGCCGAGUAGUAGCUGAUCACUUUGUCUUUAAAAUUCCAGGGUUUAGUUUAUUACUGGAUGUGUUUUGUGCUCUACAUGGACCAAGAGAAAAAUGUGUUGAAAUUCUGAGGAGUGGCCACUUGUUAGCUAUCUCACCAGGUGGAGUUCGAGAAGCCCUAAUUAGUGAUGAAACUUAUAACAUCGUAUGGGGUCAUCGCAGAGGCUUUGCUCAGGUUGCAAUUGAUGCAAAAGUGGUGAGUUAUAUAAAAUUAAUUAUUGAAGUAAAGCUUAGUCAAAUUUAAAAUAAAUGGUUAAGUAAUGAGCCAAAUUG
This 430-nucleotide long non-coding RNA is filed under the name Homo sapiens (human). Its description in RNAcentral is "non-protein coding lnc-RPS20-3:1". Lineage: Eukaryota; Metazoa; Chordata; Mammalia; Primates; Hominidae. The record is from RNAcentral.